RNAcentral lists this microRNA (22 nucleotides) under Bombyx mori (domestic silkworm). RNAcentral's name for it is "bmo-miR-9d". Its record names the gene bmo-miR-9d. Lineage: Eukaryota; Metazoa; Arthropoda; Insecta; Lepidoptera; Bombycidae. The record is from miRBase by way of RNAcentral.
AUAAAGCUAAUUCACUGAGUGU